UCUUCUUUAAAAAAAAAACAAAAAAACAUGAUAAUAAAAAAUCUAAUUAGGAUUUUGGUUUAUUCCAUCAGAAAAUAUGAUUUUUUUUAAAAACAGAUAUAAAUUGCAUCAAUUUAUGGAUAAAGUAAAGAUUUUUUUGAUUUUUUUACUUUUAUAUAAUGCAAAAAUAAAACAAGUGCUUCCUUCAAGAAAAGGUCCCCGUUUGUAAAAAUGUCAAAGGAAGCACAAUCUUUGAAGUCCCUGUCCUGUGGAAAUUAGUCAUCUAAAUGUUGUGUCGACAGCCAUGCAAAAUUUAAGCAAAAAAAAAAUGGAUGCUCCUUCACGUUUUGAGCCCUGAAAAUAUGGAAAAUGGCCAGAAUACACUUCACCGGGCCGUCAUGAGGUGUUAAGGCCUCUGGUCACAGCACGGAGAGCACCGUGACGAGAGAUGCUAGCUCGUGAGCUAGCAGGCUUGGACUUAGCAAUAACCAAGUAACUCGCAAUUAAGCAGAAUAACCUCGGACGCUAAUGAAGACAGUCAGGUUUUGAUGUCGUGGGCGAGGAGGUUAGUAUAAUUAGCAGGUUAGCUUGCGCUAACGAUGUUCACCAUGUUGAAGACAGUCAGGUUUUGAUAUCGUGGGCGAGGAGGUUAGUAUAAUUAGGAAGUUAGCUUGCGCUAACAAUGUUCACCAUGUUGAAGACAGUCAGGUUUUGAUAUCGUGGGCGAGGAGGUUAGUAUAAUUAGGAAGUUAGCUUGCGCUAACAAUGUUCACCAUGUUGAAGACAGUCAGGUUUUGAUGUCGUGGGCGAGGAGGUUAGUAUAAUUAGGAAGUUAGCUUGCGCUAACAAUGUUCACCAUGUUGAAGACAGUCAGGUUUUGAUGUCGUGGGCGAGGAGGUUAGUAUAAUUAGGAGGUUAGCUUGCGCUAACAAUGUUCACCAUGUUGUUAGCGCAAGCAGUGGACGUC
Hippocampus zosterae (dwarf seahorse) is the source of this 946-nucleotide long non-coding RNA. RefSeq lists it as uncharacterized. Lineage: Eukaryota; Metazoa; Chordata; Actinopteri; Syngnathiformes; Syngnathidae. The record is from RefSeq and is a predicted model, not a curated record. The transcript is spliced from 3 exons.